AACGAACGCUGGCGGCAUGCCUAACACAUGCAAGUCGAACGAGACCUUCGGGUCUAGUGGCGCACGGGUGCGUAACGCGUGGGAACCUGCCCUUAGGUUCGGAAUAACUCCCCGAAAGGGGUGCUAAUACCGGAUAAUGUCUUCGGACCAAAGAUUUAUCGCCUUUGGAUGGGCCCGCGUUGGAUUAGCUAGUUGGUAGGGUAAAAGCCUACCAAGGCGACGAUCCAUAGCUGGUCUGAGAGGAUGAUCAGCCACACUGGGACUGAGACACGGCCCAGACUCCUACGGGAGGCAGCAGUGGGGAAUAUUGGACAAUGGGCGAAAGCCUGAUCCAGCAACGCCGCGUGAGUGAUGAAGGCCUUAGGGUUGUAAAGCUCUUUUACCCGGGAUGAUAAUGACAGUACCGGGAGAAUAAGCCCCGGCUAACUACGUG
This 433-nucleotide ribosomal RNA is filed under the name uncultured bacterium. RNAcentral describes it as "partial 16S ribosomal RNA". It matches the Rfam family "Bacterial small subunit ribosomal RNA", at positions 29 to 507 of the family's 1533-position model. The record is from RNAcentral.